Molecule: ribosomal RNA, 253 nt
Filed under: uncultured bacterium
Lineage: Bacteria
Description: partial 16S ribosomal RNA
Rfam family: Bacterial small subunit ribosomal RNA
Source: RNAcentral
UACAGAGGUCCCGAGCGUUGUUCGGAUUCACUGGGCGUAAAGGGCGCGUAGGCGGGAUGGCAAGUCGGUCGUGAAAUCUCUCGGCUCAACCGAGAAACGUCGGCCGAUACUGCCGUUCUUGAGGGAUGCAGAGGAGACUGGAAUUCCCGGUGUAGCGGUGAAAUGUGUAGAGAUCGGGAGGAACACCGGUGGCGAAGGCGGGUCUCUGGGCAUUUCCUGACGCUGAGGCGCGAAAGCGUGGGGAGCAAACGGG